Molecule: ribosomal RNA, 460 nt
Filed under: uncultured bacterium
Lineage: Bacteria
Description: partial 16S ribosomal RNA
Rfam family: Bacterial small subunit ribosomal RNA
Source: RNAcentral
CCUACGGGCGGCAGCAGUGAGGAAUAUUGGUCAAUGGACGAGAGUCUGAACCAGCCAAGUAGCGUGAAGGAUGACUGCCCUAUGGGUUGUAAACUUCUUUUAUAUGGGAAUAAAACGUUCCACGUGUGGGAUUUUGUAUGUACCAUAUGAAUAAGGAUCGGCUAACUCCGUGCCAGCAGCCGCGGUAAUACGGAGGAUCCGAGCGUUAUCCGGAUUUAUUGGGUUUAAAGGGAGCGUAGGUGGAUUGUUAAGUCAGUUGUGAAAGUUUGCGGCUCAACCGUAAAAUUGCAGUUGACACUGGCAGUCUUGAGUACAGUAGAGGUGGGCGGAAUUCGUGGUGUAGCGGUGAAAUGCUUAGAUAUCACGAAGAACUCCGAUUGCGAAGGCAGUUCACUGGACUGCAACUGACACUGAGGCUCGAAAGUGUGGGUAUCAAACAGGAUUAGAUACCCGAGUAGUC